UACGUAGGGGGCAAGCGUUGUCCGGAAUCACUGGGCGUAAAGCGUGCGUAGGCGGUUUGUUAAGUCCGAAGUGAAAGUCCAUGGCUCAACCAUGGGAUUGCUUUGGAAACUGGCAGACUUGAGUACUGGAGAGGCAAGGGGAAUUCCACGUGUAGCGGUGAAAUGCGUAGAGAUGUGGAGGAAUACCAGUGGCGAAGGCGCCUUGCUGGACAGUGACUGACGCUGAGGCACGAAAGCGUGGGGAGCAAACAGG
This 253-nucleotide ribosomal RNA is filed under the name uncultured bacterium. RNAcentral's name for it is "partial 16S ribosomal RNA". It matches the Rfam family "Bacterial small subunit ribosomal RNA", at positions 524 to 776 of the family's 1533-position model. The record is from RNAcentral.